This 72-nucleotide transfer RNA is filed under the name Bos taurus (domestic cattle). It matches the Rfam family "tRNA". Rfam says of the family: Transfer RNA (tRNA) molecules are approximately 80 nucleotides in length. Their secondary structure includes four short double-helical elements and three loops (D, anti-codon, and T loops). Lineage: Eukaryota; Metazoa; Chordata; Mammalia; Artiodactyla; Bovidae. The record is from Rfam by way of RNAcentral. RNAcentral also lists the same sequence under 3 other names.
UCCCUUGUAGCUCAGUCGGUAAAGAAUCUGCCUGCAGUGCAGGAGAUCUGGGUUCAAUCCCUGGGUUGGGAA